Molecule: ribosomal RNA, 372 nt
Filed under: uncultured Glomeromycotina
Lineage: Eukaryota; Fungi; Glomeromycota
Description: partial 18S ribosomal RNA
Rfam family: Eukaryotic small subunit ribosomal RNA
Source: RNAcentral
CAGGUCAUUAAUUUGGUGUGUUGGGGAAGCAGGACUAUUACCUUGAAAAAAUUAAAGUGCUCAAACCAGGCUACUGCCUGAAUACUUUACUAUGGAAUAAUAAAAUAGGACUGCAUGCUUCUAUUUUGUUGGUUUCUAAGAUCACCGUAGUGAUUAAUAGGGAUAGUUGGGGGCAUUAUUAUUCUGUUGUAAGAGGUGAAAUUCUUGGAUUUAUUGAAUACUAACUUCUGCGAAAGCAUUUGCCGAGGAUGUUUUCAUUAAUCAAGAACGGAAAUUAGGGGAUCGAAGACGAUCAAAUACCGUCGUAUUCUUAACCAUAAACUAUGCCGACGAGGGAUCGGACGAUGUUUUUUUUUUAAUGACUCCUUCGGC